Molecule: long non-coding RNA, 1858 nt
Organism: Chelonia mydas (Green sea turtle)
Lineage: Eukaryota; Metazoa; Chordata; Testudines; Cheloniidae
Exons: 4
Source: RefSeq, a predicted model, not a curated record
AACCACAUUAACAAUGUGGUCCACCCUGAUUGGUUGAUCUGUUUUAAAACAUGGCUGACAGAUCAGAUAAAAAAUAUGAAGGCACAGAACUAGUGUGUGUGAGGUGGUAUCGGAAAAACCUGACCCACAGCCCCUGAACCGAAGGGACGUGCACUUCUCGACUGUCUGUACCCGGCCAGUGCAGAAAAAUGACCGACUGAAGGGUAACGUAUUUUCGGCAAAUGCAGGGCAAGAUUGCAGCACAGGUGCCAAGCAUGCUUUCAGAAAUAGCCUCCUGAUUGAGAAAGACUAUCCUUCUGCACUACCUCGUGAGUCAUGUUUUCAAAAGAAUGUUCAGUUGGAGAAGCACCAUGUUGAUACAACAGUUUUCACUCUGCAAAGAUGUAGCAGACAUAAACAGGUAUCUGUGCCUGCAACAAGUGCCAUUUGUUUCCACUCAGCAUUUUCAAAGGAAGAAGCAACCGGGGUUCAGGCUCGUCUGAACGACUCAGUGAAGGAAUCUGAAUGACGAAUUCAUGAAUUUCACUCAUUACCAGUGGAUCUCACAAUCCCUGAAGCAUUUUUAUCAUCCACAGAAGUUUUUGUGCAAGAAGACUGGGCACUCUGAAAGUGCAGCUCCACAUGAGCAGGAAUGCCUAUCCAAAAUGGCUUGUGGUAUAGACAUACAAAACUUUACUUCAACCUCUGGGGAUUUCAUGGCUUCUCUAUCAGUGAAGGACAAUAAUUGGCAAAGGGGGAGUAAUUAUUCCUAAAUCAUCUUGAAUUAAAAAAAAAUAGGUCAAGAAGGGCACUGUCAAGGGAAACUUAAAACAGAAGUAGGUUUGACACAGAGAUUUAUAUACAUACACCAUAAAUGUGGAGGUAGGUUUCGAGAUAAGUUGCCUUUGACCCCAUCCCCUGUCCACUUCUUCAGUACACCAGCACCUUUUUCUAACAUUACAAAUUCCUACAGAGCUUCAAGCAGCUGCCUUUAUUCAAAUAAAUAAAUAAAUUCAACUUCUCAUGGCAAUGUUUCCUCCUCCUUUUACUCCUCAGAAUGUGAAACUCACAGUAGAAUUGUCAAAUAUGGAAGGUCCAAGAUAGACCAGAUUUAGAGGGGGGACACUGUCAGCUUUCUAUAACUACAGAUGCCACAGCUUUAAAGACCUUAAUCUUGUGGGCUUGCAACAGGCGCUGUAGCCCAUUAGGAAGGGGGAAUUUCAGCUUCCCAGUAGAACCCAACACAAUGUUCACUCCUAACUCCAGCUAGCCCCAAGAUUUUUUUUAUUAUUAUUAUUUUUUGUAUAUCAAAAAGCUAGCUAGGUCAUGUUUAUAGAAUUUAUGGUUCCUUCUAUACAGGAAGACUCAUGCUAGCUAAGGCCACUGGCUGUACUGGAAAGGGUAGCAAGAAAUAAUAGACCACAAACUCUAAACGAUUCUCACAAAAACAGUUUUGCAUAACAUAUUGGCAUGUGCAGAAUGCAUGCAGUUGUGACACGGUCUAAAGUUUAGACCUACUUUAAGCCACUCGUGGCUUUGUUGCUCAUUAAUACAGCCAUCCCUUGUGCACCCAAAUUUUAGCCACAAUAUUUGUGCUCACAUUUUGCACAAUUCAUUUUCAGGUGCAAUCAAGAGUGCAGUUCAAUCUCAGGUGCAAAUUUGACUACUUGGACCUCUGAUUAUAGGUUCAAUUGUCUCCCUUUAACUGGCAUUCCCUGAACAGUUUCUUUGCUAACUUACUUCACAUGUAGUCCUAUCACAGUCAGGAAGAUACGAGUGUGGUCAGGUAUCUUCACCAUCUGGGGUUAGGCAACACUAUGAAGAAAACACCUGGCACCGUCUACGCUAUGGCUUUCACCGUUGAAGCCAUCAGCUACCA